GGAACGGAUGAUACUUGAGGAAUUCGGACGAUGUUUGAUGAGUGUCAUCAACUCUGCAGGAAAGGCAAAAAGUGACCCUUGUGCCAUGAAUUGCUAACUCUUGCACAAAAGACUGAUGAACUGUACAGAAAAUUUAAGCAUUUUAUAUAGGAAUUCUGGUGUGAACACCCAAAGCAUAAGGGAAGGCAAUCAACUAAAAAUCCCUUACUAUUGGAGUUAUUUUCAUCAUGUAAAUUACUUAAGGCUUUUCUUGUUAGGGCUUCUUGAAUGCACAUUUUGUCAUUAUCUGUAGACCAAAGGAUUCUCAAAUGAGCACCAAGGAUGCUAACUGUGUUGCAUAUGUGGUACAUAUAUAACAAAGCACUUAAUGUCCCUAUGUAAUUUUAUUUUAAAUGGGGUUAAAAAAACAACCAACUUAUGUUCUGCUGAGUUUGAUUUUUAAAUGGAAAUCUCAAUGGUAUCUGAAUAUCUACAGCUACUAGAACAAUGUCAUGAACAUGAAGCAGAAUGGCAAAGUACCUAAAGAAAUGAGCAACUGUUUGAGUACUGGAAUUAUAAAUCUAAAUAUAUAAUGUUACAGCAAAGGUCACAAAAUGCAAAAUGACAUGAAGAGAGAAAAGAUACAUGUGCGCUGGAAUUACCAGGAAGAUUUAAUCUAGGAGUUGAUGCAGAACUAUGGGAAAUGAAGAAAACCAUGAAAAAGAAAAGAUAAGAAGUUACGUGAAAUCUCUUAUAUAAACCAUAGUGAAAUACCAUUAAGUAAUGCUUUAAAACCAGUGUAGAAGAGAUUGAAAAGGUAUAUGCUUCU
RNAcentral lists this small RNA (808 nucleotides) under Pongo abelii (Sumatran orangutan). RNAcentral describes it as "processed transcript". The record is from RNAcentral. Lineage: Eukaryota; Metazoa; Chordata; Mammalia; Primates; Hominidae.